Gallus gallus (chicken) is the source of this 1010-nucleotide long non-coding RNA. The record is from Ensembl. Lineage: Eukaryota; Metazoa; Chordata; Aves; Galliformes; Phasianidae.
UGGCAAAACAUAGAUUUUUUAAUUUUAUUUUUUAAUUUAUGCUUACUUUAAACUUAUGGAAAUAACUAAUGGACAAAUUAGGCAUUUAUUGGGUGUAAAGGUGGCACCUUUCAGUGAUAUCCUGUGCAAGCCUAGGGAGCGAUAACCUAGAACUGUGGCAAGUUCAUAUAGACGGUCUCUUAGUUAUGCAUCUUCUGACUGAAACUGAAGGAUCUGAAGAGAGAAUUAAGGAAUAGGAACUUAUUUGUUAUUCCCUUCUCUUCUGACAAGUUUCUCGACAUGAAAAGACUUAAAGGCAAGCUGCGGUUUUCCCUAUUCUUGGGACCCAAGCCUUUUGUGAAAUGGUGCAAGGAAGAUGUGUAUUCAAAUCUUGGCCCAGUGAAUUGGGUAUUGUCAGGAAAUAACAGAAAGUUUUGAGGAUUUAAACAUCCUGGACCCUAUCCUGCUGCUGUGAACGUAAAGGAAGAGCUUUUUCUUGCCAGAGGCUGAAAAUAAGGCUGCAAAAGGAAAUCAGCUGGGGAGCAUGUACCUGCUUCAAGAGCAAACUAGAAACUUACUGAGUUACGGUGCUGAAUGGAGGCAGCCCAUGCUCCGUCUUCCUCUGCCAGGAGUGGACAAAAAUGCUCAAGUUGUCUUCAUAAACAGAAAGUCCAAACCCUAACAAUAUCCCUUUUUAUUUCUUAAUUCUCGCUUAACAUGCCAGUCAAAAGCUAAGCGAAGCCUAUAUGCAGCUCAGUGAUUGGGCAAAGCCUGAUCUGUAAAAGCAAACUGCUUGCCAAAGCUGUGGAAAAUAAAAACAAGGGAGAGUUUACACAGUAGAAAAGUGAAAACUAAUGAAACCUGGAGAUUUGCUUCAACAGUUUUUCAUUGUGCUGUUGGCAGAUGGUUCCUCUUCUUCAGGAACCGGGGCAGGAGCAGUGCAUUUGUCCCACAGGCAGAACGGCUGGGGGGCACCGUGGAAACUUGACACACACUGAGCUGCUUUCUCCAAGCUGGAACACAGAGUGAAG